This 1241-nucleotide ribosomal RNA is filed under the name metagenome. RNAcentral's name for it is "bacterial LSU rRNA". It matches the Rfam family "Bacterial large subunit ribosomal RNA", at positions 1564 to 2815 of the family's 2925-position model. The record is from RNAcentral.
UGAAUACGAGACGCUAAGGCGUCGAAGUAGUGUAUGUCAUACUUCCAAGAAAAGCUUGCACUGUCAUAGAUAAAAAACGCCUGUACCAUAACCGACACAGGUGGGUAGGUAGAGUAUACUAAGGGGCGCGAGAUAACUCUCUCUAAGGAACUCGGCAAAAUAACUCCGUAACUUCGGGAGAAGGAGUGCCUUAUUCGUAAGGUUGCAAUAACAAGAUCCAAGCAACUGUUUAUCAAAAACACAGGUCUCCGCUAAGUCGUAAGACGAUGUAUGGGGGCUGACGCCUGCCCAGUGCCAGAAGGUUAAAGAAGUUGGUUAGCAAUUGCGAAGCUGAUAACUGAAGCCCUGGUGAACGGCGGCCGUAACGAUAACGGUCCUAAGGUAGCGAAAUUCCUUGUCGGGUAAGUUCCGACCCGCACGAAAGGCGUAAUGAUUUGGAUACUGUCUCGGAGAGGGGCUCGGUGAAAUAGACUUGUCUGUGAAGAUGCGGACUACCUGCACCAGGACAGAAAGACCCUAUGAAGCUUUACUGUAACUUGAAAUUGAAAUUGGACUUUAUUCGCGCAGUAUAGGUGGGAGGCGUUGAUUAUAAUCUUGUGGGAUUAUUGGAGCCAUCAGUGAGAUACCACUCUUGUAAUGUUAGAUUUCUAACUUUGAAUCAUUAUCUGGUCAAAGAACAGUUUCAGGCGGGCAGUUUGACUGGGGCGGUCGCCUCCUAAACGGUAACGGAGGCGUACAAAGGUUUCCUCUGAACGGUUAGAAAUCGUAUCUAGAGUGUAAAGGCAUAAGGAAGCUUGACUGUGAGACCUACAAGUCGAGCAGGGACGAAAGUCGGUCUUAGUGAUCUGACGGUACUGAGUGGAAAGGCCGUCACUCAACGGAUAAAAGUUACUCUAGGAUAACAGGCUGAUCUCCCCCAAGAGUUCACAUCGACGGGGAGGUUUGGCACCUCGAUGUCGGCUCAUCGCAUCCUGGGGCGGUAGUACGUCCCAAGGGUUGGGCUGUUCGCCCAUGAAAGCGGUACGCGAGCUGGGUUCAGAACGUCGUGAGACAGUUCGGUCCAUAUCCGGUGUAGGCGUUAGAAUAUUGAGAGGAGCCUUCUUUAGUACGAGAGGACCGAGAAGGACAUACCUCUGGUGUACCAGUUAUCGUGCCAACGGUAAACGCUGGGUAGCUAUGUAUGGAGUGGAUAACCGCUGAAAGCAUCUAAGUGGGAAGCCCACCUCAAGAUAAGUAUUCUC